RNAcentral lists this ribosomal RNA (1391 nucleotides) under metagenome. RNAcentral's name for it is "bacterial LSU rRNA". It matches the Rfam family "Bacterial large subunit ribosomal RNA", at positions 1548 to 2925 of the family's 2925-position model. The record is from RNAcentral.
UCGCUGAGAUGAGGCGUGAUGACGAGGCUCUUCGGAGCCGAAGCGAGUGAUACCCAGCUUCCAGGAAAAGCCUCUAAGCUUCAGUCUAAGAGUGACCGUACCGCAAACCGACACAGGUGGGCUGGUAGAGAAUACCAAGGCGCUUGAGAGAACUCAGGAGAAGGAACUCGGCAAAUUGAUACCGUAACUUCGGGAGAAGGUAUGCCCCUGGUACGUGAAGGCCCUCGCGGCCGGAGCGGAACGGGGUCGCAGAGAAUCGGUGGCUGCGACUGUUUAUUAAAAACACAGCACUCUGCAAACACGAAAGUGGACGUAUAGGGUGUGACGCCUGCCCGGUGCCGGAAGGUUAAGUGAUGGGGUGCAAGCUCUUGAUCGAAGCCCCGGUAAACGGCGGCCGUAACAAUAACGGUCCUAAGGUAGCGAAAUUCCUUGUCGGGUAAGUUCCGACCUGCACGAAUGGCGUAACGAUGGCCACACUGUCUCCUCCUGAGACUCAGCGAAGUUGAAAUGUUUGUGAAGAUGCAAUCUCCCCGCGGCUAGACGGAAAGACCCCAUGAACCUUUACUGUAGCUUUGCAUUGGACUUUGACGGGACUUGUGUAGGAUAGGUGGGAGGCUAUGAAACCGGGACGCCAGUUCCGGCGGAGCCAUCCUUGAAAUACCACCCUGGUGUCGUCGAGGUUCUAACCCAGGCCUGUGAAUCCAGGUCGGGGACCGUGCAUGGUGGGCAGUUUGACUGGGGCGGUCUCCUCCCAAAAGGUAACGGAGGAGUACGAAGGUCACCUAGGUACGGUCGGACAUCGUACUGAUAGUGCAAUGGCAAAAGGUGGCUUGACUGCGAGACCCACACGUCGAGCAGGUGCGAAAGCAGGUCAUAGUGAUCCGGUGGUUCUGUAUGGAAGGGCCAUCGCUCAACGGAUAAAAGGUACUCUGGGGAUAACAGGCUGAUUCCGCCCAAGAGCUCACAUCGACGGCGGAGUUUGGCACCUCGAUGUCGGCUCAUCACAUCCUGGGGCUGUAGCCGGUCCCAAGGGUAUGGCUGUUCGCCAUUUAAAGUGGUACGUGAGCUGGGUUUAAAACGUCGUGAGACAGUUUGGUCCCUAUCUGCCGUGGGCGCUGGAAGUUUGAGAGGGCCUGCUCCUAGUACGAGAGGACCGGAGUGGACGCACCCCUGGUGUACCGGUUGUGACGCCAGUCGCAUCGCCGGGUAGCUAUGCGCGGAAGAGAUAACCGCUGAAAGCAUCUAAGCGGGAAACUCGCCUCAAGAUGAGACUUCCCCGGGGCCUCGAGCCCCCUGAAGGGUCGUUGAAGACCACAACGUUGAUAGGCCGGGUGUGUAAGCGUGGCAACACGUUCAGCUAACCGGUACUAAUUGCCCGUGUGGCUUGAUCC